This 327-nucleotide unclassified non-coding RNA is filed under the name soil metagenome. RNAcentral's name for it is "partial contains 5.8S ribosomal RNA, internal transcribed spacer 2, and large subunit ribosomal RNA". The stretch from base 1 to 120 matches the Rfam family "5.8S ribosomal RNA", at positions 35 to 154 of the family's 154-position model. The record is from RNAcentral.
GAUGAAGAACGCAGUGAAAUGCGAUAAGUAAUGUGAAUUGCAGAAUUCAGUGAAUCAUCGAAUCUUUGAACGCACAUUGCGCCCCUUGGUAUUCCGAGGGGCAUGCCUGUUCGAGCGUCAUUAUAACCCUCAAGCUCAGCUUGGUGUUGGGGCCUGCUGCAGUGGCAGCCCUUAAAAUCAGUGGCGGCGCCAUCUGGCUCUAAGCGUAGUAAUUCUUCUCGCUAUGGAGUCCUGGUGGAUGCUUGCCAUCAACCCCCAAUUUUUCUAUGGUUGACCUCGGAUCAGGUAGGGAUACCCGCUGAACUUAAGCAUAUCAAUAAGCGGAGA